This 244-nucleotide ribosomal RNA is filed under the name uncultured bacterium. Its description in RNAcentral is "partial small subunit ribosomal RNA". It matches the Rfam family "Bacterial small subunit ribosomal RNA", at positions 26 to 285 of the family's 1533-position model. The record is from RNAcentral.
AGGACGAACGCUGGCGGCGUGCUUAACACAUGCAAGUCGAACGAGGUGCUUGCACCUAGUGGCGAACGGGUGAGUAACACGUGAGCAACCUGCCCUUGGCUCUGGGAUAGCCUCCGGAAACGGGGAUUAAUACCGGACAUGACCUUGGUCUGCAUGGACUGAGGUGGAAAGUUUUUCGGCCAGGGAUGGGCUCGCGGCCUAUCAGCUUGUUGGGGGGUAACGCCCACCAAGGCGACGACGGGUA